CAUCUUUACCCAAAUGUGAAACCACCCUGCCCAAAAAGGAAGGCCACACAGAGGAAAGAAAUGCCAACAGAUGGAGAGAGAAACGGUAUCUUGAGGACCUGUGACCCUCCUGGAGAGAGCCAUGCCUGAAGUGGCCACAGCCCCUGGAUAUCUCUGUUACAUAAGCCAAGUCAACAUAUCUGGCAUAACUUGGCAGGGUUCAGAGAGACUACUCUGACCACCUGGUGUUUUUCUCUGAAAGCAGGGCUUGAUACCAGCACAAACAUUCCAUCUUCAGAAGUUCUAUUGGGAGUUUCAGUGAGGGCUUCAGUCUCUGUCUUUGGACAGAUGAUUCAGGCAAAGAGCUCUGCAGAGAACUUCCUCCUUCAGCCUGUCUCAGGACAAGGGCCCUCAGGAUCUGGGAGAGACAUCUAAUGACUCAGACUGUUUGAGAAACACAGAAAACAGUGCCACUGACCCCUUCUGGGGGUCAUUUGUCUUGCUGUGAAGUCUAGAAAGUCACAGAUUCCUCUGAGACCUCAUACUCUACCAUCUUUUGUGCUGUGUUACCUGAUUUUGUUGGCUUUCCGGAGUACCAGAGAUUACUUGGUACUGAGAGAGAACUUGACCUUGGUAUAUGUGAUGACUGGUGAGUCACUGGCAGAGUUAUGGUUUUGGAGGUGGCUGAGGGCUAUUGUUUACAGUAAAUGGUUAUUGCUACAGGACAGUACUCAUUUCCCUGGCAGUAUAGAUGAGACAGGUAAGGUUUAAACCUUAGAGAAAUGUCUUUGUAGCACAGGGUACUGUAGAAGCAUUGCUUGGCCGGGUCCCAUGGUGUUUCCCUUUUUUUGUGAGGGGAGAUUCCAGGAUUCAAUAUAAAAGUAGAAUGCUUGAUUUAAAAAAAUCUAAAUGCUCUGUCUUCCAACUGUGCUGGCUUUUCACAUAUUUAAAUUAUUCAACUUUAAAAACUGCAAAUGCUUUUUUGGCCCUGUUCCUUAAUGAGCUCCACCUUGAGUUCAGUUAUCCACUUGGAAAACAGACAUUAAAUUAAAAGCUACCUAUCUAAAUGAAAUUGGCCUCCUUAUGAAAUUCUAUGGUAAAUUCCUAUGAUUUUGUGUUACCUUGAAAUUCAUUUUUAACCUUCCCCUAACAUACCCAAAUUCCUUCUUUAAAAAUAUUAAAUUUUGUAUCUGUGAUUUGAGAUGUAAAUUUGCUACCCUAUUUCUCUAAACUUCAGUAAGGGCUUCAGCCAUGUGAAACAGAUCAACUUUAACAUUUUCCAUUUACAAAGGCACAACUGUCCAUUUAAACUAGAGAGUUUUACCUGAUUCAUGGGAAAGGUUUUAAAACUGAAGUUAUAAGAUCUCUAUGAUUGCCUGCAUUUUUUGUAUACAUGUGUACACGUCUUUUUGUAUGUUGUCUAUGACACCAAACUGACUUGUAAA
This is a long non-coding RNA of Cebus imitator (Panamanian white-faced capuchin), 1424 nucleotides long. RefSeq lists it as uncharacterized. The transcript has 4 exons. The record is from RefSeq and is a predicted model, not a curated record. NCBI's taxonomy places the organism in Eukaryota, Metazoa, Chordata, Mammalia, Primates, Cebidae.